Molecule: unclassified non-coding RNA, 219 nt
Filed under: Hevea brasiliensis (rubber tree)
Lineage: Eukaryota; Viridiplantae; Streptophyta; Magnoliopsida; Malpighiales; Euphorbiaceae
Source: RNAcentral
AUCCAGGGAGUCUGCCAUGGCUGAGUUCGAUGCUGUUUAUGAAUACAAGUCGUUGCCCAGGUCGCACCAAUGCGCUGUGUGCUUCUGCCCCACCACUACGCGCUGCUCCCAAUGUAAAUCUGUCCAUUACUGUUCUGGUAAGUGUCAAAUAAUUCACUGGAGACGAGGUCACAAGGACGAAUGUCGACCCCUAGCUACUGCAUUGCAUUUGAAACAGGG